Molecule: ribosomal RNA, 327 nt
Filed under: uncultured bacterium
Lineage: Bacteria
Description: bacterial SSU rRNA
Rfam family: Bacterial small subunit ribosomal RNA
Source: RNAcentral
GACGAACGCUGGCGGCGUGCCUAACACAUGCAAGUCGAACGAAGAGAAUUGAGAGCUUGCUCUUGAAGAUCUUAGUGGCGAACGGGUGAGUAACGCGUAAACAACCUGCCUUCGGGAUGGGGACAACAGACGGAAACGACUGCUAAUACCCAAUGAACUAACCGAGCGAGUGCGAGGAAGAGGAAAGGUGGCCUCUCGAAGAAGCUACCGCCGGAAGAGGGGUUUGCGUCUGAUUAGUUAGUUGGUGGGGUAACGGCCUACCAAGACGAUGAUCAGUAGCCGGUCUGAGAGGAUGAACGGCCACACUGGAACUGAGACACGGUCCAG